This 66-nucleotide ribosomal RNA is filed under the name Wallaceina brevicula. RNAcentral describes it as "partial 9S ribosomal RNA". It matches the Rfam family "Trypanosomatid mitochondrial small subunit ribosomal RNA", at positions 550 to 615 of the family's 623-position model. Lineage: Eukaryota; Euglenozoa; Kinetoplastea; Trypanosomatida; Trypanosomatidae. The record is from RNAcentral.
GUUGCCCACCAUUCUUUGUAAUAAAGACAACGUGCAGUAAUUAAUGAACUUAUAAAAGUACAUUUU